Kogia breviceps (pygmy sperm whale) is the source of this 2086-nucleotide non-coding RNA. Lineage: Eukaryota; Metazoa; Chordata; Mammalia; Artiodactyla; Physeteridae. The record is from RefSeq and is a predicted model, not a curated record.
UCCAGGACAAUGUCUGGAGAACUUCCACCAAACAUUAACAUCAAGGAACCUCGAUGGGAUCAAAGCACUUUCAUUGGACGAGCCAAUCAUUUCUUCACUGUAACUGAUCCCAGGAAUAUUCUGUUAACCAACGAACAACUAGAGGAUGCAAAGAAAGUAGUGCAUGAUUACAGGCAAGGAAUUGUUCCUCCGGGUCUCACAGAAAAUGAGUUAUGGAGAGCAAAGUACAUCUAUGAUUCAGCUUUUCAUCCUGACACUGGUGAAAAGAUGAUUUUGAUAGGAAGGAUGUCAGCUCAGGUUCCAAUGAACAUGACCAUCACAGGUUGUAUGAUGACAUUCUAUAGGACCACGCCGGCAGUGCUCUUCUGGCAGUGGAUCAACCAGUCCUUCAAUGCCGUGGUCAAUUACACCAACAGAAGUGGAGAUGCUCCCCUCACUGUAAAUGAAUUGGGAACAGCUUAUGUUUCUGCAACAACAGGUGCUGUAGCAACAGCUCUAGGACUCAAUGCAUUAACCAAGCAUGUCUCUCCGCUCAUAGGACGCUUUGUUCCCUUCGCUGCGGUAGCUGCUGCUAAUUGCAUUAAUAUUCCAUUAAUGAGGCAAAGGGAACUCAAAGUUGGCAUUCCUGUCACAGAUGAAAAUGGGAACCGCCUGGGCGAGUCGGCAAACGCUGCCAAACAAGCCAUCACGCAAGUAGUCGUCUCCAGGAUCCUCAUGGCAGCCCCCGGCAUGGAUGAGGAAAACAGAAAACUGAGGCUCAGAGAAGUGUUUUCCAGGAUCACCCAGCUAGCAAGUGGUCUGCGUGACUCAAAGCAGGAAUCUUUAUACUGGACUCUACGUGGGAUGGACACCCCGGGAAGGCUGCAUUUAUUUCAUUGCCAUCCCUCCAUUUAUCAUGAACACUUUGGAAAAGAAAGCCUUUCUCAAGAGGUUCCCAUGGAUGAGCGCGCCUAUUCAAGUUGGAUUAGUUGGCUUCUGUUUGGUAUUUGCUACACCUCUGUGCUGUGCUCUGUUUCCUCAGAAAAGUUCCAUGUCUGUGACAAGCUUGGAGGCCGAGCUGCAAGCCAGGAUCCGAGAGACCCAUCCUGAAUUACGGCGCGUGUACUUUAACAAGGGAUUAUAAAGUAGGGAAAGAAACAUCUUCAGAGGAUCCUACCAACCGCAAGUGUGGUAUAACCAAGUUGAAGCAAGAGAACAGUUCCAUCUGCCUACAUGUCUUUUCUUGUCAUCCUCGUAGAUCUCUUUGGCUUUCAGAAAGAUACGGAAAUAAUGUGUAUGUGAAUCAAUGACUCAAUGAGUUUUACUUGAAUGUUGUAUAUUACAUUCCACCCUGUUUGAAAAUAAUGAACCCGUGGACCACUGUUUACAUCAUCUGUAGUAGCUUCACAUAUAAUAUAUUUAAUGUUAACAGAUUAUGUUUCAAUUCUGUAGAGGUUCAAAGGCAUAUGUGAGGUGUUCAUUUCACUGAGUGUAGACCACUCGAUUCAAUUUGUAAUUCAGAGACUUAUAAGUGGAAAAAAAAUGUAGAAACUAGUUUGGGCAAAUUUUUCCUGACAAUGUGACCAGACUGAAUUUCCUCAUAAAGAAAAAAUGGUGUGCCUUGUGUCUGUGUUUCUCUUUUCUCUAAAACGAUGAAUGGACCUGAAGCUUUUGGGCCACUCUGAGCCUUCCUUUAUACUGCCAGAAUAUUCUCAUUUAGAUUUUCUUUCUUAAGCCAUUUGAAGCAAAAGAGCUUCCCCAUGAUAUUCUGGCCUUGGAUGUCUUUUGUUGCCGUAGAUGCUUCUCUUUAAAAAUGUGUCAAAGCAAGAAAUUCAAGGCAGAGCUCCACAAGGUCCUUAAAGGGCACUUUUAACAAGAAACUAAAGCACUUGAGGCCUACCGCAUUCGCCCCAUCUAAUCUCAGAAUUCUUACCCCCAGUCAAGUGGCAGCUCCAUGUCAAAAUCUUAACCUUCAUUGAAAAAUUAAUGAAUACCUGGUUGGAAGAUUGACAAACUAACCACAAUUUUAAUACACACCAGGAUGAGAUGACCAAAGGAUCAUUAUAAAAGGGAUAAUGAGCCUGGAGAUGUGUGUUUUUAAACAUUA